This 491-nucleotide ribosomal RNA is filed under the name uncultured bacterium. RNAcentral's name for it is "partial 16S ribosomal RNA". It matches the Rfam family "Bacterial small subunit ribosomal RNA", at positions 29 to 507 of the family's 1533-position model. The record is from RNAcentral.
AGUGAACGCUGGCGGUAGGCCUAACACAUGCAAGUCGAACGGCAGCACAGUAAGAGCUUGCUCUUACGGGUGGCGAGUGGCGGACGGGUGAGGAAUACAUCGGAAUCUACUUUUUCGUGGGGGAUAACGUAGGGAAACUUACGCUAAUACCGCAUACGACCUACGGGUGAAAGCAGGGGAUCUCCGGACCUUGCGCGAUUGAAUGAGCCGAUGUCGGAUUAGCUAGUUGGCGGGGUAAAGGCCCACCAAGGCGACGAUCCGUAGCUGGUCUGAGAGGAUGAUCAGCCACACUGGAACUGAGACACGGUCCAGACUCCUACGGGAGGCAGCAGUGGGAAUAUUGGACAAUGGGCGCAAGCCUGAUCCAGCCAUACCGCGUGGGUGAAGAAGGCCUUCGGGUUGUAAAGCCCUUUUGUUGGGAAAGAAAAGCAGCAGGUUAAUACCCCGCUGUCCUGACGGUACCCAAAGAAUAAGCACCGGCUAACUUCGUG